AUGGCAGCGAUCAUGGCGGGGUGUGGGCAGGGGCUGGAGCAAGAUUUCGAUUUCUUCGUGGUGGUCGACUUCGAGGCGACGUGCGUCAAAGACGCGCAGAUCUUCCCGCAGGAAAUCAUCGAGUUCCCCGCCGUGCUCGUCGACGGCGCCACCGGCCGCAUCGAGUUCGCGUUUCGCAGUCACCGGCAUCCGGCAGGAGGACGUCGACGGCGGCGUGGAUCUCGGCGAGGCGCUCUGGCUGCACGACGCUUGGUUGAAGGCGGCGACGGCGGGGGCAGGGAACAAGAGACGUGUCCGCUUGGCCGUCGUGGCAUGGGGGGACUGGGAUUGCCGGACCAUGCUCGAGUUCGAGUGCCGCUUCAAGGGCAUCGAGAAGCCCUCGUACUUCGAUCAGUGGAUCAAUCUGAGAGUCCCCUUCUAGGCGGCGCUCGGUGGCGGAGGGCGGGUCAACCUGCAGGAAGCGGCUACAAUUCCAAUCGACAACGCAAACUGUAA
RNAcentral lists this ribosomal RNA (495 nucleotides) under Triticum aestivum (bread wheat). Its description in RNAcentral is "partial small subunit ribosomal RNA". Lineage: Eukaryota; Viridiplantae; Streptophyta; Magnoliopsida; Poales; Poaceae. The record is from RNAcentral.